GAUGAACGCUGGCGGCGUGCCUAAUACAUGCAAGUCGAGCGAACAGACGAGGAGCUUGCUCCUCUGACGUUAGCGGCGGACGGGUGAGUAACACGUGGAUAACCUACCUAUAAGACUGGGAUAACUUCGGGAAACCGGAGCUAAUACCGGAUAAUAUAUUGAACCGCAUGGUUCAAUAGUGAAAGACGGUUUUGCUGUCACUUAUAGAUGGAUCCGCGCCGCAUUAGCUAGUUGGUAAGGUAACGGCUACCAAGGCAACGAUGCGUAGCCGACCUGAGAGGGUGAUCGGCCACACUGGAACUGAGACACGGUCCAGACUCCUACGGGAGGCGGCAGUAGGGAAUCUUCCGCAAUGGGCGAAAGCCUGACGGAGCAACGCCGCGUGAGUGAUGAAGGUCUUCGGAUCGUAAAACUCUGUUAUUAGGGAAGAACAAAUGUGUAAGUAACUAUGCACGUCUUGACGGUACCUAAUCAGAAAGCCACGGCUAACUACGUG
RNAcentral lists this ribosomal RNA (496 nucleotides) under uncultured bacterium. RNAcentral describes it as "partial 16S ribosomal RNA". It matches the Rfam family "Bacterial small subunit ribosomal RNA", at positions 28 to 507 of the family's 1533-position model. The record is from RNAcentral.